CACACAUUGUCUGUGGUUAAAAUUUCUUAAAUUGAUUGCUGCUUAUGAAAAAGUCUUUGUCUUUAAUUAGUGAUUGCUUCACCUAGACAGUGAGCUCAGGGAGCUCUAAGACAACUUUAAUGAGCAGGUGGUGUUUGUCCUGAGCCCCCUGAACAAGCAAGACGUGAGCAGGACCAUCCAGACAGUAAAUACUGUGUGCAGCUGUGUCAUGACGAUAACUCCACCUCGCUUGGGCAUUUGGCCAACAUCCCUGGUGUGUGUGAAGCUUACCAACCAUGAGACAGCGCACGCCUGCACUUCACCUAAACUUAAAAGUUUACAUACACUAGGUGUGUAAACUAUUUUUGUUCUUCACCGAGUGUAAAGGCAGGCAAGCUCCAGGACUGGACAGCAGCCUCACCUACGGGUGGACACACCACGUAGGAACUUUCCCAGUUACCGAGAGACUCCUGGUGCCGGCUGCAGCGGGGCUUCCCAGCCGAAGUGUGGGCCUGGAUGGUGUUAAGGUUUUAUAAGAAAUAACCUAUGAAAAUAUCUUCAGUGUACAGAAAAGAAAAAAGGUCAAUUUAAAACAUUUUCACAACACUUACGGCAAUUUGUCUCCAUUACUGGGAAGGAAAGCUUUGCCCAAAUUUUUCUUUGAUUCUGCCAUUCUGUAGCGUCUCCUCAGCUGAACAGGAUUUGAGUAAGCUUCACCAUUGAAAAUCCUCACAAACCGAGGCUCAAAAUAACCUGUCUGCAGAGCUGAAAAUGCUUUGGUUCCCCCAGGCAAUGAGAGAGACUGGUUACUCCAGACUACAAUUCGGAGCUAGAGCCGAUGCCUAUUCAUAUAUACUACAAGUUAGUACUUAAGAGGAACAUCUCUCCCACUGAUUACAGACCAGGUAGGAAAAGUUAGAGUGCCUCCAGUUGCGUCUUGGAUCCCCAGCACCACAGAAGCGGUGGAAGUGUACCAGCCAGGGUUCUGGUGGACAUGUUCAUCACUGACACAACACCACAGCAGAAACGUUUGUAUUGAGAAGCCAGGAUUACUUUGCAUUACCACUUCAAAGCAGCUACCAAGGAUUAACCUCUGUAACCUUACUAAUUACAAAAAUUACCGUUGUUAAAGAAAAUGUAUUUUGAAUUCAGAAAUCUGCAGUGCUGAAGCUGCUAAAUGGCAGAACCAGGCCUUGGCCCUUGUAUAGCCCUACUCCAAGGCUGGUUUAAAACUUAGUCAAGUUAAUCAGUAGGAGAAUAGAGAAACAACAGAUGAUCAGUUUGUAUACACAGGUGCUCUCAGAAACACAGGUGUUUUUAGAAAUAUUAGUAUAUGUGAAUGGGAAUUGCUUGUUCAAAGACUAAGUGUGCUUGAAGGAUUGUGUAGAGUUAAAGCAGGCAGAAAGAAGCUCAUGAUCCAAGGAGGAUCCUGAAACCAAGGCAGAGACUGGAACCGAACAGAUCAAAUGGGACAGAGUCAGGUGCUGGAUUCGCAGAACUGACAAGACCAAAGGAAACUUCUAAAAACUUUGGACAUUGACUAAAGAUUUGAUAAAUGUAUAUAAGCUGUGCUGUAUCCCUUUGUUCUCUGCCACUCACUGAGGCAGUGGCCCAACUCUGAGUUGUGAUUAAAGCAAGCCUAGUGGU
Long non-coding RNA from Falco peregrinus (peregrine falcon), 1626 nucleotides. RefSeq lists it as uncharacterized. The transcript is spliced from 3 exons. NCBI's taxonomy places the organism in Eukaryota, Metazoa, Chordata, Aves, Falconiformes, Falconidae. The record is from RefSeq and is a predicted model, not a curated record.